RNAcentral lists this ribosomal RNA (340 nucleotides) under uncultured bacterium. RNAcentral describes it as "bacterial SSU rRNA". It matches the Rfam family "Bacterial small subunit ribosomal RNA", at positions 30 to 365 of the family's 1533-position model. The record is from RNAcentral.
AUUGAACGCUGGCGGCAUGCCUAACACAUGCAAGUCGAACGGCAGCAUGGUCUAGCUUGCUAGACUGAUGGCGAGUGGCGAACGGGUGAGUAAUGCGCAGGAAUAUACCUUGAAGAGCGGGACAACUUGGGGAAACUCAAGCUAAUACCGCAUGAGCUCUUAGGAGGAAAGCUGGGGACCUUAGGGCCUGGCGCUUUGAGAAUAGCCUGCGUCCGAUUAGCUAGUUGGUAGGGUAAGAGCCUACCAAGGCGACGAUCGGUAGCUGGUCUGAGAGGAUGGUCAGCCACACUGGGACUGAGACACGGCCCAGACUCCUACGGGAGGCAGCAGUGGGAAUAUU